RNAcentral lists this microRNA precursor (95 nucleotides) under Phlebotomus papatasi. RNAcentral describes it as "microRNA mir-598". The record is from RNAcentral. Lineage: Eukaryota; Metazoa; Arthropoda; Insecta; Diptera; Psychodidae.
UGGAGGUUCAUAUGAUGAUGAUUCAGGUUCGUCUUCUUCUUGUGGAGGUUCAACCUCCACAAGAAGAAGACGAACCUGAAACGUCAUCAUAUGAA